This 515-nucleotide ribosomal RNA is filed under the name uncultured bacterium. RNAcentral's name for it is "partial 16S ribosomal RNA". It matches the Rfam family "Bacterial small subunit ribosomal RNA", at positions 28 to 523 of the family's 1533-position model. The record is from RNAcentral.
GAUGAACGCUGGCGGCGUGCCUAAUACAUGCAAGUCGAGCGAAUGGAUUAAGAGCUUGCUCUUAUGAAGUUAGUGGCGGAUGGGUGAGUAACACGUGGGUAACCUGCCCAUAAGACUGGGAUAACUCCGGGAAACCGGGGCUAAUACCGGAUAACAUUUUGAACCGCAUGGUUCGAAAUUGAAAGGCGGCUUCGGCUGUCACUUAUGGAUGGACCCGCGUCGCGUUAGCUAGUUGGUGAGGUAACGGCUCACCAAGGCAACGAUGCGUAGCCGACCUGAGGGGGUGAUCCGCCACACUGGGACUGAGACACGGCCCAGACUCCUACGGGAGGCAGCAGUAGGGAAUCUUCCGCAAUGGACGAAAGUCUGACGGAGCAACGCCGCGUGAGUGAUGAAUGCUUUCGGGUCGUAAAACUCUGUUGUUAGGGAAGAACAAGUGCUAGUUGAAUAAGCUGGCACCUUGACGGUACCUAACCAGAAAGCCACGGCUAACUACGUGCCAGCCGCCGCCGUAA